RNAcentral lists this microRNA precursor (78 nucleotides) under Schistosoma mansoni. Its description in RNAcentral is "mir-3492 microRNA precursor family". It matches the Rfam family "mir-3492 microRNA precursor family". The record is from Rfam by way of RNAcentral. Lineage: Eukaryota; Metazoa; Platyhelminthes; Trematoda; Strigeidida; Schistosomatidae.
AGCUUUCUGAAUCUGUGCCGAGAUUUCGUCAGCCAACAGACUAUUAGGACUGACGAAACUCCUAAGAUAAGUAAAGCG